UAAGUUUAAAGGGCCGCGGUAAUUUGACCGUGCAAAGGUAGCAUAAUAGUUAGUUUUUUAAUUGGAAUCUUGUAUGAAUGGUUGAACAAGAGAAAUACUGUCUCUAUAAUUAUUAUUGAAUUUAACUUUUAAGUGAGAAGGCUUAAAUUAUUUAAAAAGACGAUAAGACCCUAUAAAGCUUUAUAAGUAAAUUUAUUUAAGUGAAUUAAUAGAAUAAAGAUUUUAAUAAAAUUUUAUUAUUUUGUUGGGGAGAUAAUAUUAUAAUUAAAAAUAACUGUUAAUAAUUAAAACAAAUAUAAGUGUUUAAUGAUAGUAAAAGAUCCUAUUUAGAGAUUAUGAGUUUAAGUUACUUUAGGGAUAACAGCGUUAUUUUUCUUGAGAGUUCAUAUCGAAAGAAUAGAUUGCGACCUCGAUGUUGAAUUAAAAUUUCUAAAUAAUUGCAGAAGUUAUUUUAGAAGGUCUGUUCGACCUUUAAAUUUUUA
Molecule: ribosomal RNA, 482 nt
Filed under: Serenotheres besutensis
Lineage: Eukaryota; Metazoa; Arthropoda; Malacostraca; Decapoda; Pinnotheridae
Description: partial large subunit ribosomal RNA
Rfam family: Bacterial large subunit ribosomal RNA (bases 357-482)
Source: RNAcentral